CAAAGACAAAAUUCCCUUUAUUGAAAAUGACAGGAAAGGGUUAAAAUUGGGCACUGUUGCACAUUAAUAAGCCUUGUGUUCAUCACAAUAAUGACUUCCCCAUCUGCCAUUGCAAGACCACAGACCCCUACAUGGUUUACACAUUUGCUCCUCAUUCUUCUUGCCAUCUCCCCACCCCUAACAUGUGUCAUAGGUGUUCACAAACAAAUCCCAUCAACUACCAACUCAGGUCGGAUUCAGACAAUCCGGUGGAGCACUCUGAAAUUUAGAGGAAGUGGUCAAAUAGAAUUUUCUGGAAUUAUGGAAAUCUUCUAUUCUGUGCAUCUAGUAUAGUAGAAUCUAGUCACAUGUGGCUUUUGAGAACUGGAAAUAUGGCUAAUGCAACAGAGAAAGUGAAUUUUUACUUUUGAUUCAUUUAAAUAUAAAUGGUCACAUAUGACAUCACUGCCAUAUUGGACAUUGCAGUUCUGGAAGAUGGCAGAUGCAGCCCUCAGAAGAAUUAUCAGCCUGAAUGUCUGGGCGGAGCAGAGCACUACCUUCCCACUCACUCUUCCCCUCCUCUCGCCCCCUCCCCUGCCUCACUUGCAUCAGAUUAUGAUGUGAGCAAAAGCAGGAAACAGCUCUUUUGAUAGGCCUGUGAGACUUGCUGUUCGUUGGAGUAGCUAGGCUGCUCUGACUCAUACAGACCCAAAUCCUGGCAACCACUUUUAUGAAGAAAUGACAAUUCAGUCUACUACUUGUCCAUUUUACAUGCCCAAGGAAUGUGAGGGGCCUCUGCUUGGAUCUAGUUUUCAACCUAGUCUAUGGCAUUGAUUAUCCUUUUAAAAGACAAAAGAGGUGACUUCACGGGCACUUAACAUCUUGGCCAUACUGACCCCAGUUGCACGCUACGUAGGAAGUUUUAGUCCAUUUAAACUGAAGUUCCAAUUUUUUUUUUAACAACUAUUUAAAAAUUGUACAUGUCCCAUACAUGACAGAGAAAGGGUUGUCUGGUUGGAUGAUUUUUGGCUUGCAAAAAGAGAACACAAAAGAAAAGCAUACGUUUUAAUACUCAAGAGACCAAAUUUUCUGCUGAAGAGGAAAUGAACUACAUAUCCAGAAGGGUCCUACCAAGAGGCCAAACAGACUGUGUUCUCUUGGGGGAGUUCUCAGUGGUGAUGAGAACACCACUUUUUUUUUUUUUUUAGUCAUUUUCAAGGUGAGAUAUUGACUUGCUGCUGGAGCAGGACAACUGGUCUCUCUUUCAUUGCUAGCAGCAGAGUAAGGGUCUUGCAAGUUUCAGGCAGCAGCAGAGAAAGGGUCUUGCAAGUUUCAGUCCAAAGCAAGAAGAGCUAGGAUUGCACCAGCUGUCUCACCUACUCUGUGCUCACCUGUUUCUGGAUGAAGCACGGUGACAUCUGUUUUAUUGUAAAGAGAACCAACUUUGGAAUCAAAUGGAACCUGUAUUAAAAUCCUGAAUCCGUCACUAGCUUGGACAAGUC
This 1481-nucleotide long non-coding RNA is filed under the name Homo sapiens (human). RNAcentral's name for it is "HSALNT0312181". Lineage: Eukaryota; Metazoa; Chordata; Mammalia; Primates; Hominidae. The record is from RNAcentral.